GACGAACGCUGGCGGCGUGCUUAACACAUGCAAGUCGAACGGUGAUGCUCCAGCUUGCUGGAGUGGAUCAGUGGCGAACGGGUGAGUAACACGUGAGCAACCUGCCCCAGACUCUGGAAUAAGCGCUGGAAACGGCGUCUAAUACUGGAUACGAAACUGGCCCGCAUGGGCAUGGUUUGGAAAGUUUUUCGGUUUGGGAUGGGCUCGCGGCCUAUCAGCUUGUUGGUGAGGUAAUGGCUCACCAAGGCGACGACGGGUAGCCGGCCUGAGAGGGCGACCGGCCACACUGGGACUGAGACACGGCCCAGACUGCUACGGGAGGCAGCAGUGGGGAAUAUUGCACAAUGGGCGAAAGCCUGAUGCAGCGACGCCGCGUGAGGGAUGACGGCCUUCGGGUUGUAAACCUCUUUCAGCAGGGAAGAAGCGAAAGUGACGGUACCUGCAGAAGAAGCACCGGCUAACUACGUG
RNAcentral lists this ribosomal RNA (468 nucleotides) under uncultured bacterium. RNAcentral's name for it is "partial 16S ribosomal RNA". It matches the Rfam family "Bacterial small subunit ribosomal RNA", at positions 28 to 507 of the family's 1533-position model. The record is from RNAcentral.